RNAcentral lists this ribosomal RNA (466 nucleotides) under uncultured bacterium. Its description in RNAcentral is "partial 16S ribosomal RNA". It matches the Rfam family "Bacterial small subunit ribosomal RNA", at positions 29 to 523 of the family's 1533-position model. The record is from RNAcentral.
AACGAACGCUGGCGGUAUGCUUAACACAUGCAAGUCGAACGAACAAAAUUGGGGCUUGCUCCAAUUUUAGUGAGUGGCAAACGGGUGAGUAACACGUGGGAAUCUACCUAUCAGUACGGAAUAACAUUUGGAAACAGAUGCUAAUACCGUAUAUUCUACAAGGAGGAAAGAUUUAUCGCUGAUAGAUGAGCCCGCGUAAGAUUAGGUAGUUGGUAGGGUAAUGGCAUACCAAGCCGACGAUCUUUAGCUGCCCUGAGAGGAUGAUCAGCCACACUGGGACUGAGACACGGCCCAGGCUCCUACGGGAGGCAGCAGUGGGGAAUAUUGGACAAUGGGCGAAAGCCUGAUCCAGCAAUACCGCGUGAAUGAUGAAGGCCUUAGGGUUGUAAAGUUCUUUUAGUCGGAAAGAUAAUGACGGUACCAACAGAAAAAGCCCCGGCUAACUCCGUGCCAGCCGCCGCCGUAA